UCGAAUCCCGGUGCCGGCUGUGCUGUCUGGGGUUUUUCCUGGGUUUUCCUCAGACGCUUUCAGACAUAUGUCGGCACAGUUCCCUUAGAAGUCGGCCCAGGACGCACAUUCCCCCAGGGCGUCAGUCGUGACGUUGCCCACCUACGUGAGGCCGACAACGGCAAGCCCUUUCACCACCCACCACCACCACCAGCCAUUGGUGGACGAAUCAAAGCGAGGAAGACGAAGAUCUGCCUCGUGCUCUCGUCCCUCGCACCGUCCGUCGAAGUCCUGGUGAACGGCUGGCCCGGUGUCGCGGAAAGCACCCUCCGAAAGUCCAACCACCUGUUGAGUGGACGACGGAAAUGUUCGAAGGAUCCCAGGCAUCCCUGAUGCGGUCUGAAGGUGGCAUGCCUCCACCUAGCGGCCGGCGGCCUCUGUUCUCCUCGCACGGCGCCUACCUGUGCACGGCUGUGGGGAUUGUGGUUGCCAUCGGAUUCACAAUCGGAAUCGGAUUUGUCGUCAUGCAGCACAAGGUGGCCAGAGCUUUCGGCGUCGUCGCUUGAGUAUUAAAUAUGCUAAUUCGUGUCUCCA
This is a long non-coding RNA of Ornithodoros turicata, 573 nucleotides long. RefSeq lists it as uncharacterized. The record is from RefSeq and is a predicted model, not a curated record. The transcript has 2 exons. NCBI's taxonomy places the organism in Eukaryota, Metazoa, Arthropoda, Arachnida, Ixodida, Argasidae.